CCUACGGGAGGCUGCAGUGAGGAAUAUUGGUCAAUGGGCGAGAGCCUGAACCAGCCAAGUCGCGUGAGGGAGUACUGCCCUAUGGGUUGUAAACCUCUUUUGUCGGGGAGCAAAAGCCGGACGUGUCCGGCUGUGAGAGUACCCGAAGAAAAAGCAUCGGCUAACUCCGUGCCAGCAGCCGCGGUAAUACGGAGGAUGCGAGCGUUAUCCGGAUUUAUUGGGGUUAAAGGGUGCGCAGGCGGAUUUUUAAGUCAGCGGUCAAAUCGUGGGGCUCAACCCCAUCCAGCCGUUGAAACUGGGGAUCUAGAGUGUGCGAGAGGUAUGCGGAAUGCGUGGUGUAGCGGUGAAAUGCAUAGAUAUCACGCAGAACCCCGAUUGCGAAGGCAGCAUACCGGUGCACAACUGACGCUCAGGCACGAAAGCGUGGGUAUCGAACAGGAUUAGAUACCCGGGUAGUC
RNAcentral lists this ribosomal RNA (458 nucleotides) under uncultured bacterium. Its description in RNAcentral is "partial 16S ribosomal RNA". It matches the Rfam family "Bacterial small subunit ribosomal RNA", at positions 338 to 795 of the family's 1533-position model. The record is from RNAcentral.